UGCAAUUUUUUUCUCUUUUUUUGAAACAAGAAACGCAAAUGCUUAAAACAAGUCAACAUGAAAACAUACAAAUUAAGUUGAUUCUUAUUUUGUUCCAAAAUGAAAAAGGGAAAGUUGAAAUUUUCUUUUACCAGCACGCUUAAGAGCCCAAUCAUGUACUGCACUUUUGUUUGCAUAAUUGCAUUAUUCAAAUACCUACCCAGCAUUCGCUGCCUAGACCAACACUUGAAUUUUAAAGAGAGUGAGAGAGAUAAUUACAACCAGUAAAACAAGCUUUUGGGCUCCUGAAGUCGACAACUCAUCAGAUGGUGCAACACACCGUCAGAAAUCCACUUUGAAAAAGGAGCAAGUGGGGAACAUAGGUUUUGUUUCAGCAAAUAGGCCAUCAUUCAACACCACCCACCCCAUCUGGCUUUUGUUUCUAAAACACACCACUCCUCCUUUAACUUUUAACCUGCCCUUUUUUAACAUGGAAAUACUCAGAAAUAAAAUUAUCAAUCAACUCGCUAACGACUAGAAAUAAAUAUAAAAGAGAAAAAGACUCUUUUCUCGAAUUUUUUCUCUCUAAUUUCAGCAUAUGGACAAAAUUAAACUGCUAUGUGUCGUAGAUUAAAAAAAGGAUAUAUUAAAAGUAAAGCGGAAGCAACCAAUCAGAGCGCUUCCAUCUGGUCUUCGUCAUCGCGAAAUGACAAAGAAACCACUAUACACGUAGCUCUCCCUCCUUUCCCUUCGCUCUCUCACGUCGCUACCACUUGACACUUCUGACAGAUCCAAACCAACAAAUGAUUCUCGCAGCUUCAGAAUCAACACCGCAUUCAGAAAUUAUGAAAAUAAAACUAACAAAAUUUUAAAAAAAAAAGAAUUCAUAAUAAUAAGCAAGAAUAACAAUAAAUAAGAGACAAAUAAAAUCUCAACCGCUAAACUAACGAAAGGUGGCCAUCAUCGUCGUCCAUAGGCAGUAAAAUAAAAAAUUAAAAAAAAAACUCAAUCCUACCAAAUGAACUCCUAAAUCGGUAGCUGAUGAUAGUCCUAAGAUCAGAUCUACAGCAACAAAGACCACACACAUGCCGCUCCAACAACGGCCAAAGCAGCACCGCCUCUGUUCAAGACAGCACCGUUUGGAGGAACCCCUGUCGGAGUAUCAGCAGAAGGAGACGGAACACCGUUAGGAGGAAGUGCCACUGAGGGACCUGAGCUAGGAGUGGGAGCCGAAGGAGUAGGAGGCGAGCUUGUAGGAGUUAAGGUUGGGGCUGCCGCUGGAACAUGAGUAAUGGUAGGUGAAGGAGCCGAGACAGUUGGAGAUUGAGUGGGAGCUUGAGUGGGAGUAGAAGUAGGAGUUGCAGAAGCCUUGGGAGACGGUGCAGCAGAAGGUGGCCUAGUCGGUGAAGCGGUAGGCGCGGCUCCAGGGGCCUGAGCAAGAGCGGAACAGGCCAAGAGAGCGAAAAGCAUCAAGGUGACGAAGCUCUUUCCGGCCAUUGUAGAUCAAAACUCUGCAGGCUCCAGAGAAAAGGAGCUUUUUAGUGAGUGACUG
Molecule: unclassified non-coding RNA, 1531 nt
Filed under: Hevea brasiliensis (rubber tree)
Lineage: Eukaryota; Viridiplantae; Streptophyta; Magnoliopsida; Malpighiales; Euphorbiaceae
Source: RNAcentral